RNAcentral lists this ribosomal RNA (261 nucleotides) under uncultured Oscillibacter sp. Its description in RNAcentral is "partial 16S ribosomal RNA". It matches the Rfam family "Bacterial small subunit ribosomal RNA", at positions 78 to 339 of the family's 1533-position model. Lineage: Bacteria; Bacillati; Bacillota; Clostridia; Eubacteriales; Oscillospiraceae. The record is from RNAcentral.
AAUUGAAGCAGAGGACAGUGGCGGACGGGUGAGUAACGCGUGAGGAACCUGCCUUUCAGAGGGGGACAACAGUUGGAAACGACUGCUAAUACCGCAUGACACAUAGGUGUCGCAUGGCACUUAUGUCAAAGAUUUAUCGCUGAAAGAUGGCCUCGCGUCUGAUUAGCUAGUUGGUGAGGUAACGGCCCACCAAGGCGACGAUCAGUAGCCGGACUGAGAGGUUGAACGGCCACAUUGGGACUGAGAUACGGCCCAGACUCC